UGGUGUGGCUCAGCAGGUAGAGCAAUUGAUUCGUAAUCAAUAGGUCGGCGGUUCGAAUCCGCCCAUCA
RNAcentral lists this transfer RNA (68 nucleotides) under human gut metagenome. It matches the Rfam family "tRNA". Rfam says of the family: Transfer RNA (tRNA) molecules are approximately 80 nucleotides in length. Their secondary structure includes four short double-helical elements and three loops (D, anti-codon, and T loops). The record is from RNAcentral.